AAAUAGAAGUCAGGUAAAACUGAGCAGCUUCAGCUUUCUGAUUGACCACAGAGACAAAGAGUGGAAGGAGUGAAGAGAUAGAGGCAGUUCACUCUCCAUCAGGAUCAAAUUCAGAAUGAAUCUCCACCAUGUUCUGUUCUUCUGCUUCUUCUCAGCACUGUGUGGUGGAAACUCUGGGAUCAACAUUUAUACAGGACCUGAAGGAGGAAGUGGAACAAUUAAUUGCUACUUGACUCUGUCUGGAAACAGGAAGUUCUUCUGUAAGAAUGAAUGUAAAGGAGAAGAUGUUCUGAUUCAAACAGAUGAUGUCAGAGCUAACAGAGGCAGGUACAGCAUUGAAUAUAAAGGUGAAUCUUCUGGAAGAGGAAU
Molecule: long non-coding RNA, 369 nt
Organism: Lates calcarifer (barramundi perch)
Lineage: Eukaryota; Metazoa; Chordata; Actinopteri; Centropomidae
Exons: 3
Source: RefSeq, a predicted model, not a curated record